This 30400-nucleotide long non-coding RNA is filed under the name Glycine max (soybean). RNAcentral's name for it is "long non-coding RNA (GMAX_LNC000975)". The record is from RNAcentral. Lineage: Eukaryota; Viridiplantae; Streptophyta; Magnoliopsida; Fabales; Fabaceae.
AAAAAGAACACCACAUUGAUAAAUUGACUUAACUAGUUAAAUUAUCUUUCCCAGUCAAACCAUAGGUUCUUAACAAAAUUAAGCCACAUAACCUAUCCAGCCUUCAAAUAAACAUCAAAAUGAUAUCGCAAAUUGCUAGCUCAACGGCGACUGCACGGUAGCAAAACCCAUGAAAGUUGAUACAUUCUCUAAGCAACCAGAGUGCUAGCAGUUGUUGAUUCGCUGCAAAAUUCACAAGUCAUUAAUAGCACGAAAGGGACAGUGCACAUGGAUAAAAAAAAAGUUACAAGGUUGGCAUUCAAAUUACAAAUGCACAAAGACUUCAGCAAGCAUCAUACACAUGUGCACUCGAAACAAAAAAUACAUAACUACCAGUGAAAAUCAAUAGAAUUUCAUUUAGAAGAUCAUCUUAUGUAACAUAUCCAAAUAAUACCACGUAUGCAUUACCUAUUGAAUAACAACACCUCUAGGAAAGUCUGUAUCAAAUAAUAUCAAGUAUGCAUCACCUAUCGACCAACACUUCUAGGAAAGUAUGUCUAUCUACAUGACAAUCUUAUAUAUUUUGACCAUUUUACAACACAUUCAGCAGGUAAAAAAUAGAUCUAAAACAAAUACUUACUAAUGUGGUCCAUCUCAAAUAAAUACUUAAAGCAUGCUUCCAGACAGAAUAUUAGUAUACAGAAUACAGAAUUUAAAUAACUUAAUAAUCCUAUGGAAAAAUUUAUUAAUAAUACUGUGUUGGGAUAGGCAGGGGAAAAAUGAACCAAACCACUUCCCUUCAUUUCCACUCCAUUUCACAAAGGCCACAGCUCAAGCAUAGAAAUACAACAUAAUAAUCAGCUAUUCAACUAAAAAUCCAUUGAUAAAAUAAUAGCAAGAAAGUCAUAGUAGGGUGAGGGGUGGGAAGGUACUUACUACUUCCAGACUGGUGGGAGCUUCUUAGUCUUCUUGUAAUAGCGAGCAAGUCGGUGGAUUCUGCUCUCAACAAGAAUCAACCUGAACUUGGAGUCCUUGUCCUUCCUGUUCCUCUCAAGAUGCUUCCUAAUUGAAACUGCCUUCUUAAUCAAAUGGUACAGGUCCUCUGGAAUUUCAGGCGCAAGUCCUGAAACCAACCACCAAAACAUUUCUUCAUUAUUAUUGUCACCUAUGUUUUUUUUGCUGAAAAGCAAGGUAUCCGUAGCCAAAAAUCAUUAUAAAUAUACACACACUGUCUCGUCCAUCUCAAUUUUUUACACGGCUCUCUACUUUUCCCAUUCGCAUAUUUUACAACUAUCCAAUAUCCAUUAACAUUAUACUUAUCAUUAUUACCUAAAAUAACAGAAAAUUGUAACCGAAAUUGCAGAGAGAAAGCACAAACCGUGAGCUUUGAGGAUGCGAAGGAUUUUGCUGCCAGUGACGCUAUUGACCUGAGCAAUACCGUGAGAAUCUCUGAGAAUGACACCAAUCUGAGACGGGGUCAAACCUUUCUUCGCAAACUUGCAGAUAUUUUCUUCGACCUAGAACAAAAAAUUAAGGAUAAAAACAUCACAUUAUAUCAUUAACAAUGCGAAAAAACCGUGAAACGAGAGAAAAUUACAUCUUGCGAAGAGAUCUUGAGCCAGCUAGGAGGUGUCCUUUUGUAGGGCAAAGCAGAAGAGGAUAUACCCUUACUGUAACCAAAGGAAAAAAAAUCAAAUGUUAGUUUUGAAAAAUAGGAAAGAAGAGAAUGAAUUCGAUGACAGAGAUUGAAAGAAUGAAUACAAACCCGCGGCUGUGCAUACGACCCAUGGCUGGUGGCUGUCACUCGCUUGAAGCUGCGCUUCUUCUGAUUAGGGUUGCGACUGCGACGCUCUUCUGCACACUCCACCACUCUAAAACCCUAGAUUAUGCAGUUUAUGUGUAUUAUAUAAGGAUAAAAAGUGUCAAGCCCAAUAGCUUUGGUAGUUUUUGAAACUGUAUUUUACAUAACCAACUUGGCCCGUUGGGCUGGCCGAAUUGGCCCUGGGCAACUGCUUGGGACUCUUAACAUUUUUGUUGGGAUGCUCAACAGUUUUUUAAAAUGUAAAAGAUAUUCCUAUGCAGGUUUAGUUUUUCAUUUUUACAAUGCCUUUUUUUUUUUACAAAAUCUCACACUCUUAUAAGCGUUUUUUGUCUUCGGUGGUAUACGUUGUUCAGGGGAUAUAGUGAAAUUGGAUGGUUAUUCGUUGUCGGAUAAUAAGAGUACGUAAAAAAAAUUUAGAAACAUACAGAUUAUCAAUUUGUAUGUUUCUAUUUUUUAAAAUAAAUAAAUAAAUAAAUCUGCAUGGUGGUUAAUAAUUAAAUUUUAAAUUUUAAAUUUUGGUUUCAAUAUUUUUUAUAACUAUCAAAUUUAAUAUUUUUUAAAAUUUUAUUUCAAUCGUUAUUUAAAGUAACAAUCUUAUCAUAUUUUAAGUUUUAAAUUUUGGUUUCAAUAUUUCUUAUAACUACCAAAUUAAAUAUAUAUUUAAAUUUGAUUUCAAUCAUUAUCUUAAACUAACAAUUUUAUCAUAUUUUAAAUUUUGAUUUCCAUAUUUUUUAUAACUAACAAAUUUAAUAUAUUUUUAAAUUUGAUUUCAAUCAUUAUCUUAAACUAACAAUCUUAUCAUAUUUUUAAUUUUAAAUUUUGGUUUCAUUAUUUUUUAUAACUACCAAGUUUAAUAUAUUUUUAAAUUUGAUUUCAAUCAUUAUCUUAAACUAACAAUCUUAUCAUAUUUUAAAUUUUGGUUUCAAUACUUUUUAUUACUACCAAAUUUAAUAUAUUUUUAAAUUUGGUUUCCAUCAUUAUCUUAAACUAACAAUCUUAUCAUAUUUUAAAUUUUAAAUUUUUGUUUCAAUAUUUUUUAUAACUACCAACUUAAAUAUAUUUUUAAAUUUGAUUUCAAUCAUUAUCUUAAACUAACAAUCUUAUUAUAUUUUAAAUUUUAAAUGUUUGUUUCAUAAUUUUUUAUAACUAACAGAUUUAUUGUACAACUAAAAAUUAUGUUUCAAUAUUUUUAUAAAAAAGUUUAAUUAUUUAAAAUUAUCGUUUAAAUAUCUUUUUUAACUAACAAAUUUAAAUUAUUUUUAAUUAUAAUUUCAAUAUUUUUCAUAAGUAACAAAUUCAAUAUAUUUUAAAUAUUUGUUUCUAUUUUUUUAAGUUAAAAAAAUAUAAUAUAAAAAUAUUGAAAAUUAAUUGUUUCACCAAUCUAAUCUUAAUUUUAGCAAUAUAAUCUUAGUUUUAGCAAUCUAAUCUAAUAUAAUCUUAGUAAUAACUAAUAUAUUUUUUUAUAAAUAAAAUCAAUACUUAACACAUAAAUCAGAAAAAAAAUUAUCAAAUUUCACUAACAUUACAAAAUAACAUUACACUACAAAAAAAUUAAAUAAUAAUUGACAAAUAUAUAUUUACAAUGUAAACAAAAAUUUCAAAAAAAAGACAAAUUUAGAAGAAAAAAAUUGAAAAAAAAAAUAUUCAACAAAAAAAAUCAUACGGAUCAACAAUCCGUAUAGGUGGUACGAAUUGGCAAUUCGUAUGAACCAUACGGAGAAAAAUACCAUUUUUGUUUGCAACAUUGCUUCAAACAACAUCAAACCAAUGUCAACAACAUCCUGCACCCACAAAGGAAGAAGAAGCACCAACAGAGUAAAACGACACAGGGGAAAGGAAGAAGAAGAACCACAACCGCGCAAGAAGUAGAGGAAGAAGAAGAACCGUAAUGAGGAAAAAACCACGAACUACCAGGAGAAUGAAGGAGAUCACGACGUGCGUGAAGGAGAAUGAAGGAGACCACCACAAGAAGGAAGAAGCACAACACGAAAGAAGAAUAAGCACUCCGGCGGAAUCGUACGGGCGCGCAUUGUAUUCGUAUUUAUAUUAAUAAGGUGAAGGGCAUUUUAGCCCUUUCACCUAAGGUGCUAGGUGUCCCACCAAAAUUAUUGGGUGUCCAAAGUAACACCCCUUGGCUCUAUUAUUUCUUGACCUCAGAUUAAAAAAGUCAACCUAACUCAUUGAUUAUCUCAAUUUAAUUCAAUAUAAAAUUUAUGCUAAGGAUAGGUAUCCAACGGGUUUAGAUGGUUCAAGCAAAAAAAAAAAUCCAACCCGUGGAAAUCAACGGGUUUAGAUGGAAAUCCUAGCAUAAAAUUUUUGCUUGAACCAUCUAAACCCGUGGAAAUCCAACCCGACCAUUUAAGACCAUCUAAAACCAAAAUUCAUAAUUCAUCAACCCAUUUUAUUGACUAGAAUUACAUGUUAGUUUAUUUAUCUUUCUCGGGUAUGAGUUCAAGUGGAUCCUGAUUUGUGUCCACCCCUAAUUUAUGCAUAACAAUAUGUAUAAAUUCAUAAGUAAAUUUAAUGAUGAAAUAAUUAAUCAUCAUCUUCAACUAAAAAUAAUAAUUAUUCUACAAGUAUUCAUAAUAUAAUUUUUUUUAUAAUUUUUUUAUUGUUUGAAAAAAAAUCAUAAUAAAGUUUAUACAUUUCUCAAAAUUUGUUACUACUAAAUAACCUCAAUCAUAUUUAAUUCUUAAGAUGGUAUUAGAACAAUUUGAUUAAUUACUUGCAUGAAAUGAAGGAAUCUUGAAUUACUGUGCUAGAAAACACAAAUGCAUUGAGGAUAAAUGUAAGCUUCAGUUAGUUAUAAAAACUAAAAUCUCAUUCAAACUAUUGGAUUGUCACAAGCACUACGAAUGAAAUCUCAUAAUGUAUUUCAACGAAAUCUUCUUUAACAAACUCGAAAUCUAAAAAACACCAGAAUUUUUAAAUACACAUAUAACUCCUCAAAUCUUGGAAAUUUUCUUGGUCCUAGCACCUUCAAUUUUGUGGUAAUGGAUGAACCAAGAAUGAGCUAGAAAGCUUUGCAAAAGUGGAGUCACAAAAGACAUAAACAAUGCUAAAGUUGUUGGUGGUGAAUAAAUAGGUAUGCCUAAAACCUAAAUUGUCAUGUACUAGCAAUCUACUUGCUUUUGAUAAAGUGUUGUUUAUUAUUUUAUUUUCAUAUUUAUUGUUUAAUUAAGUGUUUUUCAUAAGGUCCUUGAUUAGAUAGUUGUUAAUGAGAAAUAAGUUUUGGAAAUUUAAUUUAAUUUCUUCUUGAUCGUAAGAUAAUCAAAAUAGAAACAUCAUUACUCUAAAUAAAUACCAUCAAUAAAUUUGGAGCUUUUGGUCAUGCCUCAAUGUAACUUGGAAUGCAUGCUUUUGAAAACUCAUGCGAAAUUAAUUCCAUAACAACUUCUCUAGUUAAUUACUAAGCAUAUUACAAUUGUUCAUCCUUAUGCUUUAAUUGUCAAUCUUAUUCAUCCAUUCAUCAAUAAGCCAAGGACUUUUUCCUUUAACCAUGUGCUUUUAGUCUUUCAUAUGCGAAAUUAGUUCCAUGAUGUGUAUUUUUUUUGGUAAAUUGUGUUUUUAGUCUCUCAUCAAUUAGUUUGACAUCAUUAACUAUUUCGAAAAGAUAAGAAUUUAAAAAUACAAUUUAACAAAAAAAAAACAUGCAUUUAUCCUAUUAGACUCAUUGACGAUGUUGCAAGUCAUGGACUACCAACAUUAGAAAUUAGUGAAGAGUAUUGAAAAAAAGUUAAGGGAUGACAAUGUCAUGGAUAUAAAGCUUAGAAGACACAUUCAUGAAUAAUGACCAAUUGGUGUUUAAGUUCCAAGACUUGGUGGAAAAUAAAAGUCAUACAUUCACUAGAUUUUGUGAUGUGUUAUUGCAUUAGAAUCAUUUUUUUCACAAGAUGCUUAUGGACUAUAUAGUCUUUUGAAAAUUUUGAAAGUACCUGUAAGAGAACCAAACAAUGAUAAGUUAGUACUUUUCUAAUCAAAUUGGACAUAUCACUCUUGUAAGCAUAUACUGAUAAAUUGAGAGGAGGUCCAAUUAUUUUUAAAUAGUCUUAAUGGUGGCAUAAGGUGAGUUGAUGAUGAUAGUAGACACUUAUAAACAUUAAUGUUUAAGUGAAUUAUAACUCAAGUAGAGUUUUAAUACUUAGUGACAAAUGUGUUCUUGUGGGAGGUGCUUACUUCGGAUAUUUACAUAGAAAAGUUUAUAAGGUUCGGUGGAAGGGAUCAGAACAACCAUUAGAAUCAUUAGUUGUGCCUAUGUUAAUUUCUGGUAACAAAAAAAAAAGGUGUCAUGUUGCAUCAAAAAGGUGUCUAUGUAGGAAGACAUAUUAGUUGUCUAUCAUGCAAGUCAAUAUGUUAACUUUUGUCCUAGGAAAAAUCUUGAUUGUUUGUAAUGUAAGGAUGAUGUGGUGGACCAAGGUGUGAAUGGUACAUUGGACUAGAUUAAUUCAAAGUCAUUGGUCCCUUAUUUGGUUUGUGGGUAAUAAAAAAUGAGUACAAUCUUAGCACAAAAAGUCAUUGAAUUAAUGGAUCCCAUCAACCAACUUCAAUAAACAAUUAUGCAAGGACCAAUUAAUGUAAGAUUUGUAUUUAAUAUCAUGUUGUCUACAAAAGAUAUAGAGAAUGAUAGACCUGAAUAUGUCAACUCAACAAAUCCGACUAUCUUAUUUUUAAAAAUAGUCUAAUUUAACAUUUAAUUGAUUAUUUAAAAAAUAGUCUAAUUUAUUUAAUGAAAAAGAUUAAGGUAUAUUAUAUGUUAGAAAUUUAACAAUUAACUAUUUUUUUCAAAAACAUUCUAAUUUAUUUAAUGAAAAAGCUCAAAGCAUAUUGUAAUCAAUAUAGUGCACCUCAUUGACAACUAACUUUUGUAUUGCCUCGGUCUAUUUUUACUCUUAUGCUAUUUUUAAAUUAGAAGUGAAAUAAAGAAGAAAGAAUUAAGAAACAAAGAAAGCAAAAAAAAAAAGAUCUAAAAUAGAAAUAGAGCAAAAAAAAAUAUCGAUUGGAUAGAAAUAAAUAAAGAGGAAAAAAGUAAAAAAAAUGUAUUUCCACUUUAUUUAAAUGAGUGAAAGUAUGAGUAAAAUAAAUUAUAUAAAAAUAUUUUAUGUGUGAAUUUAAAUAUAUGAGUAUAUGUGUAAUUAAUCCUUUUACUAUAUUAUAUAUUUUAACAUAAAAAUAUUAUAUAGAAAAAAUAAAUAUGUUAGCAUGUAAAUUAAAACCAUCAAAAUCAAGAAUAUAUACUCAAAUUAUUGUAAAAAUAUCAUAACUUCUUUAAUAAAACAACAUUGAACAAAAAAGUAAAUUUGUUAACUUUAGUUGAAUGAACUAAUAUGUCAAAAAACGGUGAAAAAAUAAGUUUCAACAUGCAUUAUUGUUAAUGAUCAAAACAACAAAUACAAAAAAUGUCUAGUUAUUGUAAUAUGUAUUUCUUUAGGUUUAAGUAUACUUAUUAAAUUAUAAAAUUAAACUAAUUGAGAAAAAUGAUCAUAAUAAUUAAUAUUAAAUUUCUAUAUAUAUAUAUAUAUAUGAUUUGAUGAAACACUAUGAAAUAUUUAUGUUUUAUUAUUUAGAUCAAUAAAAUGAUGAUAGAAUAUAAUGAAAACAAAUAAAAUCUACUACAUCUUAUUCUUCUAUUUAACUUUAUUUUCUUUCCUUUCAAAUUUGGAGGAAUGAGAUAUAAUAAGAAUUAUGUUAUAUUUUUAUCAUAAUAUAUAUAAACAAUGAAUUUUUUAUUUCAUUGUAUUCUGUUCCACUUAAUUUCAUUUUAUUUCAUCCAAUUUCUUUCCAUCAAAGUCGAAUGUAGGCUUAAAGUCAUUGUUGCUAUCAAUCGUCAAUAAAUAUUAUGUUAAUGCCUAACAUGGCCAUUAAGUGAUGUUCAAACAUGUCAAAGUAUUGGACAUGAGACUUAUUUUAAUGUUUUUACAUUAGUGUUCAUUUGAAUAACAUUGUAUGUACAAACACAUCAUCUUCUAUUAAUACAUCGUUCACUAUUUAAUUACAACUAGUUUGACCUUAUUUUGUUCUCUACAUUUCCAUACUAUGGUUCAACCAUCUUCCACACACGAAUGGAGUCAUAUGCUUGGUGUUGAUAGGAACCAAACCUUUAUUUAUUCCUUUAUAGCGUUGGAAAUUGAAAACAUAAAGGGUCAUAUUAAAAUUUAUCCUAACAUAGACCAUCUUAUUAGUGUUUCAUAAGUAUUUUAUCAUUAUAAAACAUUAAGUAUCUAGCAACUUAUAACAUUUGUAAUAAAAUCAACCCGAGUAUCUUACACAUCGCCUGCACCUACAAACAAUAGUCUUAACAGUGCAUUCAUUCGAAAACCUUCCAUGAAAGAUGUUGAGGUCAAAUUUUAUCUAUUGGGUCUUAAGACAAUACCUCCCCCACUACCCUUCCUUACCCCUAUCCCCUUUAUUGGUUUAAGCCUCCCAAAAGUUUCCAAUUUAUAUUAAUUCCACUCUAGUUCAAGGAAACAUAUCAUAUAGAUAGAAGCGAUACCGCCUAAGUUGAGUUAUGAGCUUUGACAUAAUGGUUUUUGAAUCCAGACACGCACAUAUAAAGGAGAUGCAAGAUUACGUGUACGUAACAAUAUUGAGUAUCACAUUGGCACGAUGAGAAACCUCUUGUUUGAAACAGAGACUCUACUUUUAAUUAAGGGUUCUCCUAUACAUCAUUUACCAUUUUAUUUCCUAGAAACAUUUCAUAUUUAGAUCUUUCAUUCACAUUUCAACAAUCACAUACUUAUUACUAUUAAAACAAAUUCACUAUACUAAUCUUGUGAUAUCUCCUUCAACUCUUUUUUAACACCAUGGUUGCUGACUUGCUGCACUCGCAACUUUGUUUCAAAACAAGAACCUGAAAGAGUAUUGGAAGAGUCACAGCACAACAUUGGUUCUUGCAUUGUGUAUCAUCAUUUCCACGGCAUGGCUCUGCUUCCUCAAACUCACCAACAACACUCAAAAGAGGCUUCCAUCAGGCCCAUCGGGCCUCCCUAUCUUCGGGAACCUUCUAUCUCUUGACCAAGACCUUCUUCACACUUACUUUGUCGGCCUGGCCCAGAUUCAUAGCCCAAUUCUGAAGCUCCGACUCGGGAGCAAGCUAACGUCACCGGCUAUGGCUCUCGAGGUGCUCAAAGAGAUCGACACCAUUUUCGCUAGCCACAACGUCACAACCGCCGAAAGGGCCGCGAUCUACAACGGCUUCGACAUAGCGUGGACCCCGUACUGGCCGAGUGGCGGAUGCUGCGGAAGGUGUGCGUGCUCAAGAUGCUGAGCAACCCCACGCUAGAUUCCGUGUACGAUCUGCGCCGCAACGAGAUGCGCAAAAUGGUGGCAUUUUUGAAUGGUUGAGUAGGGAGUCCGGUGAACGUGGGGGAGCAGGUGUUUCUCAUUUUUUUAUUAGUUUUUGUUAACAUCUAACCGUCACUUCUUCUUUUUUUCUAAUCAAGUAAUCAAUCUUAUAUCUUAGGUGUUUUUUGACGGUGAUAAAUGUGAUAACGAAUAAGAUGUGGGGAGGGCCAGUGGAAGGGGCGGAGAGGGAGAGCAUGUGGGGCGGAGUUCAGGGAGCUAGUGACGGAGAUGACGCAGCUUUUGGGAAGCCGAACGUGUCAGAUUUUUAGUUUGUCAUGUUAUCUUAUGAACAAUUCUUUAUUCAAAUUUUAGCCUGUCAUGUUAUGAACAAUUUUUGUUUGUCCCUAUUAGUGAUAAUAAUAAAUGAUUUUGUAUUAAAAUAUAAUAAAUAUUUAAUUUUUUAGUUAAACUUAUUUUUUCUUAAUAUAUUCAUAUGAUAUUUAUAUUACUCUUUCACUUAUUCAAAUAAAUAAAAGGAAAUUUGUUAAUUUCUUUCUUUCCUAUCUUUAUCUACUAAUUAAAAUAAGUUGAUAGUGAAAAAUAAAUUAUAUUAAUAUUACAUGAAAAUUAAACUCUUUGAAUAUGUCAAUAUUUUUAUUUUUUAUUUGAAAAAUACAAGAAAAACAUUUUUUUCAUAUAUAUAAAAAAUUUCCUAUAUUGUCCUAAAUGGGAAUUAUCAAACAAUUGAUGUGGGAUGUUGCAUCUUAAUGAAUGAUCUUAAGUUAGAGUUUUGACUUUUGAAUAUGCAAUAAAAUAUUUAAAAUGAAGAUUUUGCAAGACGUAAUGAUCUCAAAUAAAAGAAAAUAAAAAAAAGUAAGAGGAAAUAUGUUUUACAUUUAUUAUUUUUUUAAUUGUUAGAUAUAAUUUGAUCAGUACUCUAAUAAUAAAUAUUGUUUGGUUGUACAUGUAUUAUUCUUAACAAAUAAUCUUAUUCUUUAAAAAAACAAAUAAUCUUAUUAGAAGAACAUUGAGACACUAAAUGUUAGCCCUUUUUUCAAUAGGAUCUGAAUUAUAGUUUAUUACUUUGUGAGAAACUAAUUUUUUUUAUAAUAGAUCCAAUAUUUAUUAGAAAAUAAUAAUAAAUAAUUUUAUGCUAAAAUAUAAUAAAUAUUUAAUUUUUAGUUACAUUUAAUUAUUGUUAUAAUUUAUUUAAAAGGAAAUUUCGCAAUUUAUUCCAUUCUUAUUUUUAUCUUUCAAUAUAAUAUACUCCUAUAUAAUUGUAUUUUAUACUUUUGAGUUUUGACUCUUUUUUAUUUAAUUUUAUUUCAAACACGAAUAUCUGACCUAGGUAAAAAAAAUCCCUGCCACGUGCGUAAUUUGGAAGCAUCCGAAUGGAAACAGUAUAAAUAAAACACACUAGACAUCUCUAGCACUGGCUCCGAUCAGAGUUGGUUGGUGGAAAGAAAGAAGGAAGGAAGCAAAAACCUCAAGCGCGCCCGCUAGCGCCUCCUCGACCGCGCCGGUGUCUUCGUCGUCAACGCCGACCUCAACGACGUCGCCCUCCUCCGCAAGCUCUUAGACGUCGUCCCUUUCACCCACGUCAUGCACCUCACCACACAGCCUACAGCUUAUAGAUGAGUUAGUACUGUAGGCAGUUGAGCUGCAGCUUUCAGUUUGAUUUGCCAAAUGCCCUCAUCGGAUAGUAAUACCAUCGGGGCUACAAUCUGUAGUAGCUCAAAAUUCUUGCCUUCAAAAGGAUUUUUAUUAACUCUUUCUUAAGUACUAUUUUUAAAACUGUUUUGUGAGGUCAAAGUAAGUAGAACUUCAUUUGUCAGCUAGAGAUUGAUUGGUGACAGGUUAUCUUGCUGCCACUCUUGAAUCGUUGCCAGACAGUGAUUGAAUCCAGAAGCUUCGUACCGGGUGAAAUUGGAUUGUUAAGACUUCAUUCCUGUCGUUUUUAGGCGGCACACUGUUGAUUCUCCAAAGGUUAAACGAAAGCUUCUUUUCCUACACACAUAUAACGAGGCUGGGGUUUCUGGUUGCUUGUUGAUCUCAUCAUGUGUUUAGUUGGGAGAGUCCAACUGCCCACAUGGCUUAUUCUGAGUUAGUUGAUGAUUUCUAACUAGCAAAUCUGAACCAUUUUUAUGUGAGGGGCAAAAGGGAAAGAGCUUAAGUAAGAAUUGCAGACCAUACCAAUGACUGACUGAUACUGUUCCUUAUAGCACACCAUGACUUAUGAAUCUUGAAAAUCAAUUCAUUUAAGAAAUGCGUCAAAAUUUGUAGAUCAGGCUUUAUUCAUUUGUUAGCUGGUUCACUCAUCGACACUACUCCAUGAUGGAAGGCCAUCUUCCUGUUGUUAAUUUCUGUUUUAACAAGUUCACUUGUUCUCAUAGUGACACCCAAGUAUGCAAACUCUCUUCAAUGUCCUCCUGUUUAUCCUGAUACAAUUUUUUUGGACUAAUUUUGAUUUUUUAUAACGCCAGCCUUUCUCUAUGAUGCUGUGUUUUUUAGUAACGGGUGGUUGGUUGAGUGAGAUGUUGGAUUCUCUUUUAAGUAAGGUUUAGCGUUAGAUAUUGUAUAUGGAACAGAAAAGAAAAAGAAAAAAAAGAACUGAUUAGGAGAAUUAGUCUUGUCAUAAAAUGUUGAUUUCUGGAAGAAAAAAAACAUUAAAUGAUAAUGACAAGAAAUCUCAAAAUUAAAUCUCAAAAACAAUAAAUGUAGAUUUUUGAAAGGAAAAAAAAAACAUUAAAUGUGGAUUUAAGGUCAACUUCAUAUUUUAUCUUUUAAAAAGUUUAAUUUGAUCAUUUAUAUUUAUUUUUGAUUCAGUUAAGUUUAUUUUGGUCAUUUAUUUAUUUAUUUGUUCAAUUUAGUCUUUCGAUAUAUUUAAGAUUAAUUAAUCAUUUAAGAAUGAACAUUUUUUGUUAGAAAUAAAGUGGAGAGAAAGGGAAAAAAUUAAACAAAAAUAGUUUAUUUUUAAAUUAUUAACGACAUUAAUCUUAAAUAUUUUAAAUAAACUGGAGGACAAAACUAAAAGUAAAAAAAAAAUGAUCAAACUGAACCACAAAAAUAAGAUAAAGGAAGUUUUUAAAAAAAAUAAAGGAUUGAAUUGAACAAACAAAAAAAGAUAAAGGAACAAAUUGAAUUUCUUAAAGGAUAAAGGACCAAAUAAGUCAUUUAGCCUUGAUUUAAAUAUAUUUUUUAAAUUUUAUUAAUAGAAAUAUAAGAAAAAAUUAUAGUAUACUAAAAUUAUUCUCUGAAAAAUAAUAUAUAGUCCAAGACCACUCUUCCUAUAUAAUUCAACAAUAUGACAAUCUCCACCAUUGUAUUUCUCAAAUAACUAUAUCGAAUGUUCUUGUGCUUAGAUACAAAAGGGAGCCAAGAUGAAGCAUCUAGUUCAAAGUCGCUCAACUCCUCUGCUGAAAUUCAUGAUAAGGGGAAAAUUGUUGAUGAAGGUAUUCAUCAUGCUGAUGAGUGUGAAAGGAAAAAUGGUAGGAUGGAUGAAGUUUUUAAAUGAAAAUAAAUAAAUGUCAUUAUAAUGUGUUGUGUUUGAUGGCUUUGUAAAUUAUAUAACUUUUAUCUCUAGUUGUUCAAGGGAAGACACAAUUUUGUGAGGGCUAAUCUGGUCUGAAGUCUUUCCUAGAUGAAAGUCUCAACCAUGGAAAUGAUUAUAUAGGUGCCACUGAAUAAAUUCUUGACAUUGACUAACAAAAUAUUUGCACCAUAUGCCUUGACACAAAGAAAUAGUGGACUAUAAUGGGACCCUGUGGUCAAAGAUUUUGCACAUAAUGUGUAGAAAACUUUGUUGUUCAACAAGUAGUAUGAGAAGGCAACAUAGAUGUUGGGUGUCUAAAACUAGAUUGUUAGUUGGAUAUAUAGCCAUAGAACUUCCAAAUAAUUCUCCCAUUGAGUUUUUUUAAAAAAGAAGACAAGCUGUAAAAUAUGCCAACUUGAUCGUAGGACUUCCCCUUUAGAAGAAAUAGAACCAAAAGUGCAAAAUUUGGUUAUGAAAAAAAAAUGGCAAUGGUGCCCAAGGUGCGAAGCCCCUUGUUCAAAGAGCUUCUAGUUGCAACCAUAUCAAAUGCAGGUACUUUUCAUGUCUUUUGAAUUCCUUUCAUCAAUCUCAUAUUUCUAUAGGUUGUUAGGUUAUUGUUGGAUUGAUAUACAAUUACUCUAUCACUAUUUGUGUAUUGUCAUUGCAUGUGUGGUUGUAGAUUUUGCUUUACCUGUGGGGGUAAUUGGAGAGUCAAACAUUGAUGUUUAGAGCAACAAGGAAGGAGAUCACGUUAGAUUACCAUGUUGUUUCGGGUUUUAUGUAUUGUGUUGAUUGAUAAAUGUGGCAUACCAACUGUUUGAAAAAUAUAUAUAGUCAAAGACCACUCUUCCCAUAUAGUUUAAUAAUAUUAGAAUCUCCACCAUUGUAUUCCUUCAAUAACUAUAUUGUGUGUUCUAGUGCUUAGAUACAAAAGGAAACGAAGAAAAAGCAUCUAGUUCAAACUCGCCUAACUCCUCUGUUGCAAUUCACGAUAAGGGGAAAACGAUUGAUGAAGGUAUUCAUCAUGAUGAAUAGUAUGAAAAGGAGAAUUCUAGGAUGGAUGAAUUUUUUUAAUGAAAAUAAAUAAAUGUUGCUAUAGUGUGGUGUGUCAUGUUUCUUAGUAAAUUAUAUAACUUUUAUCUCCAGUUGCUCAAGGGAAGACAUCAAUCUAUGAGGACCAAUCUGGUCUAAAGUCUUGGCUUGGUGAAAGUCACAACCAUGGAAAUGAUGAUAUGGGUGUUGUUGAAGAAGAUUUUGACAUUGAGGGACAAAAUAUUUGCACCAUAUGCCUUGACACAAGGAAUAGUGGACUAUGAUGGAAUCUUGUAGCCAUAGGUUGCACACAAUGUGUAGAAAAUUAUGUUGUUUUGCAAGUAGUAUGAGAAGGCAAAAUAAAUGUUGGGUGCCUAGAACCAAUAUCAAUCCAAUCCAACCUAAUCUAACUUUAAUUGAAUUUGAUUAGGUUGAUUAUCUAGUUAAACCAUUAAAAAGUUGUCAAAUCUUUAAGUCUUGAAAAAAAUUAAAGAAAUGUUCAAAUUCAAAAAUAGUAAGGAUAUUUUUUUAUAGAAUAGUAAUAAUAUUUUUAAAAAAUAAUAUUCAUAAAACAUUAUACUAUUCAUAUGAUAUAAUAGAAAAAAAAACAUAAAUAUAAACUCACGGUAUUAUUCAUAAAAAUAUAUUACCUUAAAAUAAACAAAAAAUAAGAUAACUACAAAACAAUGUAUCAUCUUAAGAUAAACAUAUAUUACCUUGAAAAUGAGAUGUGCUUAGUUAGGGGCUUCUAUUCAUAAUUUAAUUUUAUGCAAGUUGGAUUAGGUUUUAGUCGAAUCCAAAACUCUAAAUUUGUCAUCAAUCCAAUUUUAAUUGGAUUUAUUAAACUAAAAUUAAACUAAUUCAAUCGAAUGACACAAUCCAACUCACAAAAAUCUAAUUGAAUUGGGCUUGUUCGUGAAUUGGGUCUGAUAUGCUUACACCUAUAUUCUAAACAAUUCUCCCAUGGAACUUCUUAAGAAGAUGACAAGCUAUAAAAUAUGUCAACUUGAUUCGUAGGACUUCCCCUUUAGAAAAAGAACCAGAGAUGCAAAAUUUGGUUACGAAAAAAAAAAAACUGGCAAAGAUGCCCAAGGAGCAAAGCCCUUAUUUUAAGAGCUUCUGGUUGCAACCAUAUCAAAUGUAAGUAUUUUUUUUUACAUCUUUUGAACUCCUUCCAUCAAUCUCAUAUUUCUAUAGGUUGUUGCUAUUGAACCGAUAUGUACUUUCUCUAUCAUUGUUCGUGUGUUGUCAUUAUAGGUGUGAUUGUAGAUUCUAAUUUACCUGUUGGGAUAAUUGGAGAGUCGAACACUGAUGUUUAGAGCAACAAGGAAGGAGAUCACAUUGGAUGAUCAUGAUGCUUCAAGUUCUCUGUAUUGUGUUGAUUGAUAAAUGUGUCAUACCAAUUGUUUGAAAAAUAUAUAUAUAAUCCAAGAUCAUUCUUCCUCUAUAGUUCAAUAAUAUGACAAUCUUCACCAUUGUAUUCCUCAAAUAACUAUAUUGUGUGUUCUAGUGCUUAGAUACAAAAAGGAGCAAAGAUGAAGCAUCUAAUUCAAAGUUGCCCAACUCCAUUGUUGAAAAUCAUGAUAAGGGAAAAAUGGUUGAUGAAGGUAUUCAUCAUGUUGGUUAGUAUGAAAAGGAGAGUGGUAGGAUGGAUGAAUUUUUUAGUGAAAAUAAAUAAAUGUUACUAUAAUGUGUUAUGUCUUAUUGUUUAGUAAAUUAUAUAACUUUUAUCUCCAAGGAAGAUACCAAUCUAGGAGGGUCAAUCUGGUCUGAAGUCUAUGCUUGAUAAAGGUCCCAGUUGUGGAAAUGAUGAUCUGGUGGUGUUGGUAAAGAAAUUUUUGACAUUAAGGCACAAAUUUUUUGUAUCAUAUACCUUGACAAAGAAUAACGAGUGUAAUGACCUAAGUUGAAUUAAAUUUUAUUUAUUUUUCAAUCUAAUUCAAUUAAACUUAAUUAAAUUUAAAUUAGAUUUAUUUUUUUUAUUUUGUCAAUCCAAUCCAACUUUAAUUAGAACAGUUAAUGGGUUGGACCAUUAAAAAGUUAUCACCUUUUAAGACUCAGAAAAAAAAUUAAAGAAAUCCUUGAAUCAAAAUUUAGUAAGAAUAUUUUAAAAAUCAAUAUUCAAAAAUGAUUAUAAUAUUCAUACAAUAAAAAUAAAAAAUACUAUAUAUACCAUUUAUAAAAAAUGUAUUAACUUAAAAUAAUGAAAAAAAUAUAAAGUAAAAAUAAUGUAUUAUCUUAAAAAUGAGAUGUUCUUAGUUAAAGAUUUUAGAUAGGAUUAUGUGAUGAAUAUAUAGCAAAAAUUGUUUAAAAUUAGGGUUUAAAGAAUAAUAAAGAUAGGAUAAAAAUAAUAUUUUCAAUAAAAUUUAAAGAACACUAAUGAUAGGAUGAAAAUAAGACUAACAAACAUAGGUAUAAGAUAAGCAUUUAUCAUUUUUUUAUUUCUCAUCAACCACCUUAAUUCUUAAGUAAUAUUUUGUUAAAAAAUAAAUACCUAUUCCUUUGGAAACCAGUUGAACCCAUAAGCAGCAAAGAAUACGAUCCUUCAAAUCUUCUCAGCAUAUAUAUUACUUGAAAAUAAAACCAAAAACCAUAGUCAUCUCUUUAAAGAACAACCUCCAACGGCUAAAAGAAAAAGAACACCACAAUGAUAAAUUGACUUAACUAGCUAAAUUAUAGGUUCUUAAAAAAAUUAAGACCACAUAACUUAUCCAGCCUUCAAAUACACAUCAAAAUGAUAUGGCAAAUUGCUAGCUCAACGGCGACUGCAAGGUAGCAAAACCCAUGAAAGUUGAUACAUUCUCUAAGCAACCAGAGUGCUAGCAGUUGUUGAUUCGCUGCAAAAUUCACAAGUCAUUAAUAGCACGAAAGGGACAGUGCACAUGGAUAAAAAAAAAAAGUGACAAGGUUGGCAUUCAAAUUACAAAUGCACAAAGACUUCAGCAAAACAUCAUACACAUGUGCACUUAGAACAAAAAAUACAUAACUACCAGUGAAAAUCAAUAUAAUUUAAUUUAGAAGAUCAUCAUAUGUAACAUAUCCAAAUAAUACCACGUAUGCAUUACCUAUUGAAUAACAACACCUCUAGGAAAGUCUAUAUCAAAUAAUAUCAAGUAUGCAUCACCUAUCGACCAACACUUCUAGGAAAGUAUGUCUAUCUACAAGACAAUCUUAUAUAUUUUGACCAUUUUACAACACAUCCAGCAGGUAAAAAAUAGAUCUAAAACAAAUACUUACUAAUGUGGUCCAUCUAAAACAAAUACUUACUAAUGUGGUCCAUCUCAAAUAAAUACUUAAAACAUGCUUCCGAAACAGAAUCAAAGUAUACAGAAUACAGAAUUUAAAUAACUUAAUAAUCCUAGGGAAAAAUUUAUUAAUAAUACUGUGUUUGGAUAGGCAGGGGAAAAAUGAACCAAACCACUUCCCUUCAUUUCCACUCCAUUUGCCAUAGGCCACAGCUCAAGCAUAGAAAUACAACAUAAUAAUCAGCUAUUCAACUAAAAAUCCAUUGAUAAAAUAAUAACAAGAAAGUCAUAGUAGGGUGAGGGGUGGGAAGGUACUUACUACUUCCAGACUGGUGGGAGCUUCUUAGUCUUCUUGUAAUAGCGAGCAAGUCGGUGGAUUCUGCUCUCAACAAGAAUCAACCUGAACUUGGAGUCCUUGUCCUUCCUGUUCCUCUCAAGAUGCUUCCUAAUUGAAACUGCCUUCUUAAUCAAAUGGUACAGAUCCUCUGGAAUUUCAGGCGCAAGUCCUGAAACCAACCACCAAAACAUUUCUUUAUUAUUAUUAUCACCUUUUUUUUUUUGCUGAAAAGCAAGGUAUCCGUAGCCAAAAACCAUUAUAAAUAUACACACACUGUCUCAUCCAUCUCAGUUUUUUACACCGCUCUCUACUUUUCCCAUUCGCAUAUUUUACAACUAUCCAAUAUCCAUUAACAUUAUACUUAUCAUUAUUACCUAAAAUAACAGAAAAUUGUAACCGAAAUUGCAGAGAGAAAGCACAAACCGUGAGCUUUGAGGAUGCGAAGGAUUUUGCUGCCAGUGACGCUAUUGACCUGAGCAAUACCGUGAGAAUCUCUGAGAAUGACACCAAUCUGAGACGGGGUCAAACCUUUCUUCGCAAACUUGCAGAUAUUUUCUUCGACCUAGAACAAAAAAUUAAGGAUAAAAACAUCACAUUACAUCAUUAACAAUGCGAAAAAACCGUGAAACGAGAGAAAAUUACAUCUUGCGAAGAGAUCUUGAGCCAGCUAGGAGGUGUCCUUUUGUAGGGCAAAGCAGAAGAGGAUAUACCCUUACUGUAACCAAAGGAAAAAAAAAAUCAAAUGUUAGUUUUGAAUAAUAGGAAAGAAGAGAAAGAAUUCGAUGACAGAGAUUGAAAGAAUGAAUACAAACCCGCGGCUGUGCAUACGACCCAUGGCUGGUGGCUGUCACUCGCUUGAAGCUGCGCUUCUUCUGAUUAGGGUUACAACUGCGACGCUCUUCUGCACACCCCACCACUCUGAAACCCUAGAUUUGGUAGUUUAUGUGUAUUUUAUAAGGAACAAAAGUGUCAAGCCCAAUAGGUUUGGUAGUUUUUGAAACUGUAUUUUACAUACCCAACUUGGCCCGUUGAGCUAACCGAAUUGGUUUUAUUAUUUCUUGAACUCGAAUUUAAAAAGUCAACCUAAUUCAUUGAUUAUCUCAAUUUAAUUUAAUAUAAAAUUUAUGCUAAGAUAGGUAUCAAAUGGGUUUAGAUGGUUCAAGCAAAAAAAAAAAUACAUACAACAUAAAUCGAUUAUAUUUUUUAUGGGUCUAUUUUUGGUUGUUUAAUACUUUGAUAUAGUCUAAUUAAGUUUUAAUGAGUUGACCAAAGGAAGAAAUGGAGAAAAAGUAAAAAUUUAACCCGACCAUUUAAGAUCAUCUAAAACCAAAAUUCAUCAACUCAUUUUAUUGACCGGAAUUACAUGUUAGUUUAUUUAUCUUUUUUGAGUAUGAGUUUGAGUGGAUCUUGAUUUGUGUCCACCCCUAAUUUAUGCAUAACAAUAUGUAUAAUUUCAUGAGUAAAUUUGUAAAUAAAUCACAGUUGUGGAAAUGAUGACAUGGUGCCGGUAAAGAAAUUUUUGACAUUGACGCACAAAUUUUUUUGCAUCAUAUGCCCUGACACGAAAGAAUAGCGGACUAUGAUAAGACCCUAUAGCCACAGAUUUUGCGCAGAAUGUGCAUAAAAGUUUUUUGUUUAGCUAGUAUGAAAAUGCAACAUAAAUGUUGGAUGCCCAAAACUAGAUUAUUUGUUGGAUAUAAAGCCGAAGAACCUCUAUAUUGGGAGUGUAAUGGCCUUGGUUGAAUUGAGUUUUGUCUCUUUUUCAAUCCAAUACAAUUAAACUUAAGUGGGUUGGAUUGUUUUGGAUUUACCUUUUUUAUUUUGUCAAUCCAAUCCAACUUUAAUUGGAUUGGUUAAUGGGUUGGACCAUUAAAAAGUUGUCACCUUUUAAGUCUUGGAAAAAAAAAUUAAAGAAAUCCUCAAAUUCAAAUUUAGUAAGAAUAUUUUUAAAAAUCAAUAUUCAUAAAACAUUAUAUUAUUCAUAUAUCAAACAAAAAAAUACAAUAUAUACCAUUUAUAAAAAAUGUAUUAACUUAAAUAAAGAAAAAAUAUAAAGUAAAAAAAAUGUAUUAUCUUAAGAAUGAGAUGUUCUUAGUUAAAGAUUUUAGAUAGGAUUUAUUGAACACUAAUGAUAGGAUGGAAAUAAGACUAACAAACAUGAAUAUAAGAUAACUGUUUAUCAUUUUUUUAUUUCUCAUCAACGACCUUAAUUCUUAAGUAAUAUUUUGUUGAAAAAUAAAUACCUAUUAUGGAAGUAUAUCUCCAGAACUAUGAAUCGUAGUUCUAGAGAUAUAUUUCCAAAAUAGGUAUAUGUAACUCCAGAAAUACAUUUCCAAAAAAUAAAAUGAGUGUACUUCUUUAAGAAAAAAUAAAGAUAUAAUGGAUAAUUAAGAGAUAGAGUGAGGGAUGAGGUGUACUUAGGAAAACUGAAGGUGUAAAUAGCAAUAGCCUAAUCUAUUGGAUUGGGUUUGUUCACAGAAGAUGUCCAAUCUGCUUAUGUCCCUACUCCAACCAAUUCUCCCAUAGAGCUUUUUAAAAAGAUGAUAAGUUAUAAAAUAUGCCAACUUGAUUCAUAGGACUUCCUCUUUAGAAGAAAUAGAACCAAAGGUCCAAAAUUUGGUUAUGAAAAAAAAAAGAGGUAAAGAUGCCCAAGGUGUGAAUCGCUUGUUUAACGAGCUUUUUGGUUGCAAACAUAUCAAAUGCAAGUAUUUUUCACGUCUUUUGAAUUCUUUUCCUCAAUCCCAUAUUUCCAUAGGUUGUUAGGUUGUUGUUGAACUAAUAUGCAUAUACUUUAACACUACUCUAUCACUAUUCAUGUGCUGCCAUUGGCGAUAUGGUUGUAGAUUCUGCUUUACCUAUGAGGAUAAUUGGAGAGUCGAACACUAAUGUUGAGAGCAACAAGGAAGGAGAACACGUUGGAUUAUCAUGAUGUUUCGGGUUCUCUAUGUUGGGUUGAUUGAUAAAUUUGGCAUACCAGGAGUUUGAAAAAAAAAAUAUAGUCCAAGACCAAUAUUCCCAUAGUUCAAUAAUAUGAAAAUGUACUCCAAUAUAUUCCUCAAAUAACUAUAUUGUGUGUUUUGGUGCUUAGAUACAAAAAGGAACAAAGAUGCAACAUCUAGUUCAAAGUCGCCCAACCCCUAUGUUAAAAUUCAUGAUAAGGGGAAAAUGUUGAUGAUGAAGGUAUUCAUCAUGCUACUGAGUAUGGAAAGGUGAAUGGUAAGAUGGAUGAAUUUUCUUAGUGAAAAUAAUUAAAUGUCACUAUAAUGUGUUAUGCCUUGAUGCUUAGUAAAUCAUAUAACUUUUAUCUCCAACUUCUCAAGGAAAGAUACCAAUCUUUAAGGGUCAAUCUGGUCUGAAGUCUCUGCCUGAUGAAAGUCACAACCAUGAAAAUGGUGGUUUGGGUGCCAUUGAAGAAAAUUUUUUACAUUGAUGGACAAAAUAUUUGAACCAUAUGCCUAGACACAAAGGAAAAAUGGAUAUGAUGGGACCCUGUAGCCAUGGAUUUUGCACACAGUGUGCAAAAAUGUUUGUUGUUCAACAAGUAGUACAAGAAAACGACAUAAAUGUUGGGUGCCUAGAACUAAACUAUCCUUUGGAUAAAGAGCCAAAGAACCUCCAAACAAUUAUUCCAUGGAGCUUUUUAAGAAGAUGACAAACUAUAAAAUAUGUCAUCUUGAUUCGUAGGACUUCCCUUAACCAGAGGUUCAAAUUUUGGUUAUGAAAAUAAAAGAAAAAUGGCAAAGAUGCCCAAGGUGCGAAGCCCUUGUUCAAAGAGUUUCUAGCUGCAACCAUAUCAAAUGCAAGUAUUUUCCACAUUUUUUGAAUUCCUUUCAUUAAUCUCAUAUUUCUAUAGAUUGUUGCUGAAUUGAUAUGCAAUUAUUAUGUCUGGUAUUUGCAUGUUGUCAUUGCAAGUAUAGUUGUAGAUUCUGAUUUACCUGUGGGGAUAAUUGGAGAGUCGAACACUGAUGUUUACAACGAUAAGGAAGAAGAUUACAUUGGAUUAUCAUGAUUGUUUGGAUUCUCUGUAUUUAAUGGAAAUAAAUAAAUGUUGAUAUAUUGUGUUGUGUCCUAAUGCUUAGUAAAUCAUAUAACUUUUAUCUCAAGUAAGACUCCAACCUACGAGGGUCAAUUUGGUCUAAAGUCUCUACUAUCUCCAAUUGAUGAUAUAGGUGCUAGUAAGAAAAUUUUGACAUUGACGAACAAAAUAUUUGUACCAUAUAUCUUUACACAAAAGAAAAGUGAUAUAAACAAUAAAGUAAUUAAAAAUAAAAUAUUAUUCUAGUUUAAAUCAUUUAUUUAGAGCAAUCAAAUUUAAAGCUUUAACUUAAAUAUUAUUUGUUUAAAAAAACAAAUUUUGAAUAUAAGUUAUUUAAUUUGUUCAUGAUUUCAUUGUUUUUGUUUUUUGUUUCACUAAAUUUAUUUUUUAUUUAUUUGUUAAUUUUAUUAUUUAUUAUUUAGUUGACAUUUUUAAACUAAAAGAUAAAGUAAGAAUAAAAAUCGAUUUUUGUACUCAUAAAUAUGAUUCAAGAGUCAAGAGUAUAAAAUAAAUUUUUUAAUAAAGAAGAAGAUUUUUUAAGAAAAUCAUUGAUUCGUUCACUUAAAUUUUGACUCUUUAUUAAAAUUAAAAUUAAGUGAUUAUAUAUAUAUAUAUAUAUAUAUAUAUAUAUAUAUAUAUAUAUAUAUAUAUAUAUAUAUACACACACACUUUAUUAGGUAAUUAUUACAAUUUAUCAAUUUAAUGUUUAUAAAAUUUGGACUAACUAUUUUAAAAUAAUUUAAACCUAAUUUAUUUUAUUUACUUAAAUUAAUGAGCUUAAUCAACUAUUUAACUAAUUAGUUUCAAUACUUUACAGAUAGCUUAAUUUAUUAUGGUCUGUUAGUUUUCAAUUAAAGAAAUUAUUAAGAAUUUGUUUCUACUAAGAUUGUCCAGUUGCCACUCGUGCUUAGCUUAACGAUCACGAUCCCUUUGCUGCGAUACCAUUUUUCCAUUCCAUGGACUUGUGGACUGUUGGAUGGCAAAUAACAAAAUUUAAAACAGUUCAGAAAUAUAAAUUGGAUGUUCAUCGAAGUUAUUUAUUUAAUAAGGGUGUUCAUCUAAGUUGUCUUGACUCUUGAGUAAAGUAGGAAUAAGUAAUGCUGUGUAAUGACAACGUAGCAAAUAUUUGAAGAGAUGGACUAUUCGAUGGUAACUUAUAGGUCCUCUAAAGUUAUUAAAAUUCAAGCAUAUCCUAAAGAAUAAAUUAGUUCAAAUGAUGAUUCUUUUUUUUUUUAAUUUGAUUUUUUAUUUUUUAAAAAAUUUAAUUUGGUCUUUAAUUUUAUUUUUUUAUAUUCAAUUUAAUCUUUUAUCUUUUAAAAAAAUAAUUAGUUAUCUAUUUUUUUUGUCUAAGUUAGUCCUUUGAUUCAUUUAAGAUUGAUUUCAUGAAUCAUUUAAGAAUAAACUUUUUUAUUAAAAAUGAAGUGGAGGGAAAGAAGAGAAAAUUGAACUAAAAAAAGUUUAUUUUUAGAUUAUUAAUGACAUCAAUCUUAAAUACAUUAAAUGAUCAAUUUGAGCAAAAAAAUAACAAAAAACAUUAAAUUGAAAAAAUAAAAAUAAAUGAUUCAAUAAAUUUUAAAAAAAUAAAUGACUAAACUAAAAAAAAACUAAAAUAAAAGAUCAAAUUAGACAAAAAAUAAAAUAAAUAAUCAAAUAGGGUUUUUAGCCAAUAAAUUAUUACUAUGAUUAAGAAGCAUAACAUCCUCAAGUCACUAACAUCCCCCUUUCAAUGAACUACUCAUCCGUGACCAAUUGAAGUUUUAUGUAUAUUUUUUUAACCCUUUAAUUUAUUAGGAGAAACUAUUAAUUUAAAUUUAAUUAAUAAUUAUUUUGAUCAAAAAUCAAAUUUAAAUAUUAUCUAAAUAAUUUAAUCUUAAUUUCAACUGUCACACCUAUAUUUUUUUAAAACUUUGUUUACAUUGAAACAAGACAGCCUACUUUAAAGAAAUAGCAAUUGUCGGUUAUCAAGUCACAACACGACACAUAAUAUUUGGUUUGGGUGGGGUAAUAAAGGCAAGUUGAAUGUCCGGAAAAAAAAUUCUAAAAUGAAAGAAGAAAAAGAAAGGAAAAGAAAAGAAAAAAGUGAAUGUAAAUUACCAACUAGAUAAAGUCUGGUAGCGGGACUAAUCUCCCAUGACAGAGUGAAUCAAUGUUGGAAUUCCUGCGUGACCAUGCCUAAAGUGAAUUUAAAUUAUGCAAUAGUAGUAUUUAAUAAUGGGAGCGUAAAUUGUAGAUAGAAUUUAAUUUUGAAGUCGCGGGGUCCAUAGGAGGGUUAGAUUAGAAGGCAUGUGCGUGCCUGCAAUCCCAAUAAUGCAUAGGAAUUGAAGCAUAGGCACCCUUCCCUUCCGUUUCGAAUUAACCAUGAAAGGCGUCUUUUCGGCGCCCGGUGAUUACGUUCACUUCAAGUCUCAAGUCCCUCUUCACAAAAUCCCAGUAUGUUCCUUUCUUUCUUUCUCCCAAUUCCUCUCUUCUAGGUUUUCUAUUACACCCUCCUCCUUUCUCCAUCGUAGCAUCCACAGAUACGAUGUGUUUAUGAACGAAUGAAUUGUGAAUUUCUACUAUUCUGUUUGAUCCUUUUUUUUUCUUCUUUUUGACAGAUUGGCACUAAGCAGUGGCGGUAUUACGAUUUCGGUCCGAAAGCUGUGCCUCCCCUUAUAUGCCUUCCUGGAACCGCAGGAACUGCUGAUGUAUAUUAUAAACAGAUCAUGUCAUUGUCUAUGAAGGUACUGCAUCAUAUUUCAAUGGCCUAAAUGUUAUCACAUCCAAUGUGUUUCCACUCAUCACCAUCACUACCUUGUUGUGGGGUUUGGAAUGGCCUAAUCUUGACUCAUUCAUCUUACGUGAAUAGUCGAGAUUGCAAGUUAUUUAAAGAGUUACUUGACUUUAUGUUUUAAACUUAGCUGUACAUGGAUGAUUCAAUUGUUAAGAUUUGACGUGUGGACAUCGUGCUUGUUGAAAUGACACCAUCCACCCUCCACCCUCCACACACACAAGAGCUUCACGUAACCCUUUGAAUGUUAGGCAAUGGAUGGCUAACUUCAAAAAUGCUCUUCUGCAGAAGUUCUUCUGCUGCUGCUAAACGAGAGAGAGCCAUAACCUAGAAACUCAGCUAACUGCAGGGUGAAGUAUAGUUAAUGAUUAAACUUGUUUUGGCUAUUUAAAUAAUCUACUGGAUAUCUCUUUACAUCAUAACUUGUAAGAAAGCUUAAUGCUAAAUAUAUGGAUUGCUCUUUAGAAAAUCAUGUGCAAAAGAUGCUUGUUGUGAUGUGUGAGUGUGUGUGUGUGAAUUUUUAAAAUGUGCGCUUGAUAGAGGCAAAGAAUACAUGCCUGAAGGAGAUAUGGGCCAAAUGUUAGAUCAAUAAAGUCCUGGCCUAAAGAUAUGGAGAGUUUACUCUGGAAGAGCAAAAAGGGACACGUGGAAAUUAGAGAGAGGAAGAGGUUAUUACCCUGGGUGGAAGAAUGGUGGGGUCAGAAACGGUUUUAUAGAGUGUGCUGCCUGGAAGGGAAGGUAGUGCGUUUUUCAGCCAUAGGUUUGGGCUCACAGCUCUGAGCUGAGAGAUAUCUUUUACUUUGUUCCUUUUAUCUUUUCCAGCACUGACAGCCUUUGUUUAGGGAAUUGAAUUCCUCACAUUCCAAUUAUUAAUCAGAAUACCAUUUUGAGUUCACUUUUUCCCUAUUCCUAUUAGUGCUCCAUCUUUGUAACUGAUACAAUAAGAUCUCAUUGUAUGUUGCUUACUAACAGGAUUUGACUAGAGUUUUGUUUACUUGUUGUGUGUAUGCUUGUAUUUACUUUUAUCAAUCCUCAUAUUGCAAUUCUGGACAGAGUAACCAAAGUUUCCAUUUUGUACAGGGUUACCGUGUCAUAUCUGUUGACAUACCUCGUGUAUGGAAUAAUACUGAGUGGAUUCAAGCAUUUGAAAAGUUCUUGGAUGCUAUUGAUGUACACCAUGUAUGAUCUCAAACUCAUCAUGCUUUCUACUGCCAACUUUUUACUCAUAUAGAUGCUACAUCUAUAAAUUGUUUGCUUUUAAAGCCACUUAUGCUUAAUUUGGUAUCGAAGAAUUUGAUACCUUUAUUCUAUGUUGGAGACAUUGAUCAUUUCAAUUAAUGGAAAGCCCUACUUAGCUAGUCUUCAAUUCAUUUAAACAAAGUUUUUCUAAAAUCUCGAGGUUCUUAUAGUCCAGUUUUCCGCAUCUUCUAGUGUUCAUAUAUAAUAGAAAAACUUUUUUGCUUCUGUUGUCAGUGCCAUAAGGCGCAAUGGUGUGUUUAUAUGGCAGAAUUUUUGCCUUCCACCAUGUUCUGCCAUCUGUCAUUGAUAACACUGUCCAUUGUGCACCAUAUAAUUUUGUUGGGAGCUGUAACAUGUUACAACUUUGGAAUUUGGAUAUUAUGUGAGAUGUCCAUACACAUGUAUCCUAAGGAGGGAAUGGUUCCUAGACAUUUCCAAGGAUUUGUGAGAUGUUAUAGGAUUUAAUUAGGCCAAACAACACAAGCCCAAGCUAAAUCUUAACCCCAACCUACUAACAAUCGUGGAGCAUCAGCCCAAAUAUGGAACUGUACACUAUAAAAUUUGGUUUAUGAGCCUCUUUGAACUAGCUCACCUAAAAUUGUUAAUUUCAAUGAACUGAUUGAUCAUAAUGAAUUAGAUUGAUAUAUCUUCUUCCUUCCCAGAUUUUUGAAGCCAAGUUCUUUUGCAAUAUAUUUGAAGACCCAGCAUGUGAGCCUAAAUAUAUUUCAAUCCCACCUAUACAGGCUAGCCUGCUUACCAAGUUGAAGGUUGUUCAAGCCACCUGUCUCUUAUGAUAUCAUGCAUGGUUUUUAUAUAGUUAAGUUUUAGGUGUAUUUGGAUAAAAUUCCAAAUGCUCUUUACCACAACCAUUUCAGUGAGGAUGUAGUUUGCCACUGGAAAUAUGUUUUGUUUGGUGAAAGACUUCAGUUCUUGUUCUUCAAUUAUAUUUUCAUUCAUUAUAUCUUGUAGGAUUAAUCUGUUCUGGAAGUUAAUUCUGUCAAGUAUCAGCAAAAGGGAAAUUUCUAACCAUAAAUCCAAAUGUGUAAUUCAUAUGAUUGCUUAGUAUAAAAUAUGAUCUACACAAUACAUGAUUUUAGUAGUUUUUACCGCAAAUCUCUCUACUAACUGCUCAAUAUGUCUAUAUGACUGUCUAUGUAAUGUCAUCUUUUGAAUCUAUAAUUGGUGACAUAGCUUCAAACAACCAGAGAAAAUGUUCAGUAAAUUAGUUUAAUAUCUCUUACAGAUACAUCUUUAUGGUACGUCACUUGGUGGUUUCCUAGCACAACUCUUUGCUCAGCAACGUCCUAGAAGAGUUCGAUCGUUAGUUCUAUCAAACACAUUUUUGGAGACACGGAGUUUCUCUGCUGCAAUGCCAUGGGCACCCAUGUACUUUUCUCAGAUUCUAUUGUAAAGAAUAAUAGUAGAUAUAGGCUAGAAAUGAGCAAACUUCUUGUGGUUGUUUCCUUUUAAUUUACGAAAGAUAAACUGCCUUAUAUGCUGAUCUAGUAGAAUUUGUAACAAACAAAAGCAUCAAUGAUUACUUUACCUAUACACGUAGGACUAUAGCACUGUCCAGAAAUUACAAUAGGUAUGAAACACAAGGAAACUAGAUAAUAUCUUCAAAAUUGCAGAUUUAUUCCUGUACCAUUAGACAAAUUAUUCCUUAAUAUUCCAUUAAACUAAGCAUCAUCCAUAAUUACCUUUGUGAGCACUUGCGGAUAUGUAUGGUAUGCCUGACCUUAGAAUGAUGCAAUAUCCCCUCCCCUUAAACUUUUUGUACAACAAAAAUGCAUCAUCUUUCUUACUGGGAAUUUCUUGUUAUACUUCCUGAUAGUUUUUCAUUAGAUCUAUUCAGUUUUCCAUUUAUUAACCGAUGUAGCUGUACUAUUGCAUUUGCAGUGUUAGUUGGACUCCUUCUUUUUUGCUGAAGCGAUAUGUCUUAACAGGAAUUCGUGAUGGUCCCCAUGAACCAUUUAUUGCAGAUUCAGUGGACUUUGUUGUUUCUCAGGUAACCUUUGUCUUGCAUAAUCUAAUGCUUAGUAGCAAACUGCUAUUUGUGCCUUUCAGUUUGCAAGAAUUUGUCUUGUUUUUGGACAAAAAAGAGUGUCCACCAUACUUUAGACUGGGGACUAGUUGACUAUCCUAAGGCACUCCAUAUUUCCUUAAAAUGCUAAUGCGGCUAAUCUAUAUCCUAUUUUUUCCCUACUUGUUUAUGUUUGCAUUUAUUGUGUUAAAUAGCUUGUUUGAUUUACUUGAUUCAGGUAGAAACCCUCUCUAGAGAAGACUUGGCCUCCAGAUUGUCGCUGACAACUGAUGCUGCUUCAGUGGGACCUCUUCUUCUUUCAGAUUCAUUUAUCACUAUAAUGGAUGUAUGUCAUCUCAAGUCAUAAUUUGCGUAUUUCUGUAUCAUGCUGUUGUCAAAAGAUUUGAUUUUUUUGCAUGGCUCUUUUCUUCUAAAAAAUGUUAAUUAUUCAGUCUCUAGAUUAAUUGCUAAUCUUAUUGUUUUGGUGUGCCUAGUAAAAGCUCUUUUUUAGUAAUACCAUUCCACUCUAGUUAUGUUAAGUUCCGCUGGCAGUUCUUUCCAUAAUCCACCAUCAACAUAAUUCUAUAUACAUUUUGCUUGUGAGUUGUGACAUUGUGAUGAUAAUGUCUAAAGCUAUUAUUUUUCUUAUUAUUAUGACCCAGAAAAGUAUGAUAUGAAUUUUUUAAUAACUCCACUUUCAUCUUUUUACAUGGUCUUGCUCCUUUCUUAAAGACUAAUGACUACUGUGCAAUUCCUCAACAACUUAAAGAUCAACUGGGUGAAAGGUAUCCUGAGGCAAGGCGUGCAUAUUUAAAAACAGGGGGAGAUUUUCCUUUUCUUUCAAGACCGGAUGAAGUUAACUUGCAUCUUCAGGUAUGUCAUAUCUGACUUUUCUUACUUUACAUGUGAUUUGUUCCGAUAGUCUUUGGCUCAUGGAUUUAACUGUUGUCUAUAUCAUGGCAGUUGCACCUUAGGCGUGUUGGUGUGGAAGCUCGGCCAGAUUUGGUUCACAACGUACCUAAAGGUGAUAUUGGAGGAAGCCAUAGCAAAGAAAAUAACCAAGAUGACUCUGACAAGUCUCAUAAGGAUGAUAGAGGAGGGUCAGAAAAUCCACCUGCUAAAUAUGAGAUAAAUCCUACUUGCCCAGAAAGCUCGGGAUCCGGUAAUUUAGACAAGCAGCCCCUCGAUAGUUCAAAACGUUGCCAUUUGGAUCAUGAGCUCACCUUAUAUGCCUUUCCUGGUGGAUUCACAAGGGAAAAGCGCAUUGUGCCUCCAGGAACUCCUUUACAUUUCGUGUGGGAAUAUAUUGUUCUUUUUUGUCUUCUUCGUCACGUCAGUUGUCUAUACAUUAUAUGGAACUAUUCUUUGGAAUUUAGGCAAGUUGUGUAAGUUGGAAUUCUUUUGGAUAUACUAUAUGUAUCAUGAGAACCUUGUGCGUGAAACAAAGUUAUUAAGAUGGACAAUAUUGUGGAUUGGAUUUCUUAGUUCCUUUCGGCUGGAUGAAGUUGAGAUAGCUACGUUGCAAGUUACUUGUGUAAGUUGGAACUAUUAUUUCCAUUUUUGAAGGUAGGGUUUAAAAGUUUAAACUGCUAUACCAUCAAAAUUUAUAUUUCAGGUUUUAAGUACUUAUGUGACUCGAAAUGUUUUGUGGAAUUUCUCUCUCGGAAGUCGGAUAGUGUUAAUGUAAAAUUCCAUUUUUUUUAAAAAAAAUUUAAACGAUUAUUGAAAACAAAGAACAGGCUCGAAAUUAUGGUCCAAAAUGGUGGUAAGCCAUUGAAAUGUUUUCUUAAGUUGUAAUUCAACAGUCUUGACUAACAGGCUAAAUGUAUUGAGUCAAAUCAGAGCUUCUGAACUGCAUCAGCUUGCAUUAUAAGAUAUCUACCUCAAUUACACUUCCUUAUGAGAUCGAUUACUUUGCCUAAAGUCUAAAAUUGUACCAUAAUUCCAUACAUUCUUAACAACAUAAAAUCACAACUUUAUGAUUGUUUAUCUCGGAUUUCACCAUAUUGUGCUGGAAAAUACUGGCUUAUUCUUUCUGGGUAUAGUAUGUCACUAUGUUGUAUUAACGUUGAUACGCUUUUAUUGGCUAAUAUCAGCUGUCAUGACUUAUGCAGAACAGGAGAUCUUAACACAAAAUAUUAAUCCAUUGAGUGAAAGAACAUUAUAGCUUAAGUAUCACGUUAAAUUUCUUAUUUUACUUAAUAUAAGACUCAAUCGAAAACGAAUCCGAAUAUUACUGCACUUGAUACAACAUAAACUUGAAAAGAAAGUGGUUUACAAAGGGUAGCUCUGAAAGCAAAAUACAGUACACUCAAGAGCAUGAACAACCGUAAGCCAAUAUUAUCUUCCCGACUAUUAGCCAUGGUAACCAAACACAAAAAACUAUGACAUGAUAAAUAUUUAUUUACACAAUUAAAAUUAAAAUUGUAAUAAAAAAAAUAUAAAGUACAUUAAAAAUUCAUAAUACCAUAUUUUUAAAUACAUAAAUUCCAUAUUUAAUUUUUAAUAACCAAUUUAAAGUAAUAAUAUUAUUUUUGACAAAUGAUAAUUUUCCUUAAACCCAUUAAAAAUUAAUUUAAAGAUAAAACUAAAAGAGAAUAGGUUGAAAUGUAAAACUUUUUUAACCUAUAACAAACAUUAGUUAACAUGUAAAAUAAUAACCAAUGUAUUUAAGAGUUCGGAUUGGUAAUGGGAAAACAUUGAGACUAAAAAUACGAUUCAAAAGAUCAGUUAUUUGAUUAGAAACGCUAAAAUAAGUAAAUGACGUAAAAACUAACUGUCUGUAUGGAUUACAUUAUAAGAAGUGGAAUUUGAUUAAACUUAACUUUAUGAACUCAAGUUCAGUUAAAAGUAAUAGUUUUCCUUUGGAAACCAAUUGAAUGCAUAAGCAGUAAAGAAUACGAUCCUUCAAAUCUUCUCAGCAUAUAUAUUACUUGAAAAUAAAACCAAAAACCAUAGUCAUCUCUUUAAAGGACAACCUCCAACGGCUAAAAGAAAAAGAACACCACAUUGAUAAAUUGACUUAACAAGUUAAAUUAUCUUUCUCAGUCUAACCAUAGGUUCUGAACAAAACUAAGCCACAUAACCUAUCCAGCCUUCAAAUAAAC